AGAAUCAACGCUGGCGGCGUGCCUAACACAUGCAAGUCGAGCGAGAAAGGGUAGCAAUACCUGAGUAAAGCGGCGCACGGGUGAGUAACACGUGGAUAACCUGCCUCGAAGUGGGGGGAUAACACCGGGAAACCGGUGCUAAUACCGCAUACCCUGACGAGAUCUGCGGAUUUUGUCAGUAAAGGAGCAAUUCGCUUUGAGAGGGGUCCGCGGCUGAUUAGCUAGUUGGUGAGGUAAUGGCUCACCAAGGCAUCGAUCAGUAGCCGGUCUGAGAGGACGGUCGGCCACACUGGAACUGAGACACGGUCCAGACUCCUACGGGAGGCAGCAGUGGGAAUUUUUGGCAAGUGGGGAACCUGACCAAGCAACGCCGCGUGGAUGAUGAAGUAUCUUGGUAACGUAAAUCCUUACGACGGGACGAACGCAAGGUGACGGUACCGUAGAACGAACGCCCGGCUAACUCCGU
RNAcentral lists this ribosomal RNA (466 nucleotides) under uncultured soil bacterium. RNAcentral's name for it is "bacterial SSU rRNA". It matches the Rfam family "Bacterial small subunit ribosomal RNA", at positions 26 to 506 of the family's 1533-position model. The record is from RNAcentral.